ACUAGACCCUGUUUUACUAUGCACCCACCCUCUGCCACUAUCGCUACCCCAGCGCCACCACUAGGCCGCCACCGUGUUGCUCCGGCCAUUCACUCAUCAUCAUCAAUCUUUCCCUUUCUUUCCCCUGUUCCAAUUCCCUGCUUCCCAGGGGGCCAAUAUUCUUGUAGAUAAUAAAGGUUGCAUUAAACUUGCAGAUUUUGGGGCCUCCAAACAAGCUAGUAUUAGAAUGGAUUACUUGAACGUGCACAAAGUGGAGCAGUUUUAGGUUGAUUCUGAUCUUUUACCAAGUAUUUAGGUUGAUGAUCAUCUCUAUUAGUGUAAUUUGAUAUACU
Molecule: long non-coding RNA, 332 nt
Organism: Arachis duranensis
Lineage: Eukaryota; Viridiplantae; Streptophyta; Magnoliopsida; Fabales; Fabaceae
Exons: 3
Source: RefSeq, a predicted model, not a curated record